This 184-nucleotide unclassified non-coding RNA is filed under the name plant metagenome. RNAcentral's name for it is "partial contains small subunit ribosomal RNA and internal transcribed spacer 1". The stretch from base 1 to 46 matches the Rfam family "Eukaryotic small subunit ribosomal RNA", at positions 1786 to 1831 of the family's 1831-position model. The record is from RNAcentral.
AAGUCGUAACAAGGUUUCCGUAGGUGAACCUGCGGAAGGAUCAGUAGAGAUUUCCGGCGCAAGCCGGUACCUACCCACACACACCUGUGACCCGUUAUUUGGACGCGGAUUAGCUCCGGCGAAACCGUCCUGUCACAAAACAUCUUAUAAUGUCACGAACGUAGUCUUAUUUUAACAAAUAAAA